RNAcentral lists this ribosomal RNA (254 nucleotides) under uncultured bacterium. Its description in RNAcentral is "partial 16S ribosomal RNA". It matches the Rfam family "Bacterial small subunit ribosomal RNA", at positions 524 to 776 of the family's 1533-position model. The record is from RNAcentral.
UACAGAGGGUGCGAGCGUUGUCCGGAAUCACUGGGCGUAAAGGGCGUGUAGGCGGGUCAGCACGUCGGUUGCUGAAAUCCCCCGGCUCAACCGGGGAACGGGCACCGAUACGACUGGCCUGGAGGGGAGUAGGGGGACCUGGAACUUCCGGUGGAGCGGUGAAAUGCGUUGAGAUCGGAAGGAACGCCCGUGGCGAAAGCGAGGUCCUGUGCUCCUGCUGACGCUGAGACGCGAAAGCCAGGGGAGCGAACGGG